This is a long non-coding RNA of Armigeres subalbatus, 1553 nucleotides long. RefSeq lists it as uncharacterized. Lineage: Eukaryota; Metazoa; Arthropoda; Insecta; Diptera; Culicidae. The transcript has 3 exons. The record is from RefSeq and is a predicted model, not a curated record.
UGGAGACGAUGAGCACCUCAGGUACAUUCGGGCAGCGUUCCGUUGCGGACAUGAACGAAACGGAAAUCGAACUCCUACUUACUCCUGUCGGGAAUAUGCAGGGAAGGAGGACAAUGAAAGCUGAUCCGGGUAAAAGCCCUGUGGAAAGUCCAACUUGCAGGAUUUUUUCCCAUCAUCGGUGCUGAGCAGCCAGAGUUGUGAAAUGAUUGCUAGCUCAAGAUUGGCGAUAAACGGUUGGAUGGGAGUUUCUUUCCCGGUCCAUAAUAAUCCUGCAGUCCUUCUGGAAGCGGCAUUGAUUCGGCGUUGCAACUCCUGCCAGGAAAAGGCAGCAAAAGUCUUCGGCAAAGCGAUAACAGCGUUGUUGUCCUUUAUGGUGGUGUGAUGCGGUCCUGUUUCUCUGAUAAGAGCGACUGGACCAUAGCCGAUUUAAUCGGUGGCGUUCAAGUUCCUCUCGGCGGCCAACAUCACACGACGCAAAAUUCCGGUGGUGCCUUCGGGUAUUGUUGUGCCGAGUAACCGAGGGGGCCCUUCAUUGGCCUAGCCAGUUAGGGCAUUGAACGCCGGCAGUCGAAGCAGGGCCGUCGGGUAAGAUAAUCAAUGUAUAAUCAAUUAUUUGCUUGUUUUUGUAGGUCUGAUGGAAGCGAUAGAGCGAGAGCGAGGGUGGUAUGACAUAUGGUCGAAAAAUCAGGUUGAUAUACCAUAAUACCAUAUGCCUUGCCAAUCCUUGAGGCCUAGAUGUCAAGACUUCCUUGUUCAGGUUGGAUGGAGUGAGAGCUCAACGGAAGAUAAAGAUGUUCAACCAAUCAAGAUCAACAGAAUGAGUUAUAUUUACAUAACGCAUCGUAAAGGGGUCUCCAGUAGCCUUGCGAGCAAAAGCGUAGGAUUGUCAAUCCGGAAAUGGCAGGUUAGAUUCUCGGUCCGGUCUAGGAUGAUUUCGGGUAGGAAAUUUUCUUGACACCCUGGGCAUAGUGUAUACAUUGUACAUAGAGGGCAUAAUUUUCUGGACAGGACAUGAACCGCUCGAUCGACGUCGUUCAGGAGAAGAAGUGGAUGAUCAUGGACAGCGAUGGAGAAGACUUUUCCAGAGAUGACUCAAUACCCAUCAUGGAGGCGUUCUAUUCAGGAAAGUUUUUCGCGCAUAUACAAUGAUUGAUUGGAAGUUGGACGGCAGUCUACGAUUGGACGAAGUAUCUCAUCUUCGAGGAACGCAUCUGUUGCGACCGAUCGCGUUCGGAGAUGUAAGCGUGGAGUUGCAUGGGGACUAUACGUUAGUGACACGAUGCAGAUCUAGAUCGACGGUUCGCUGAGAGGUUGGCAUGAGUGAUAAAGCACACUGUUUUCAACUUGAGUGUUUUGCAUCGGAUAUCGUUGGAGCGGUCGAGGGAAAUUCACGCAGUGUUGGACAGCUACAAAAGCACACGGAAUUGUUUGAAAUUUAAUUCGCAAUACAUCUUUCGAUCGCGGAAGAUCAGUACGUGGCAAUACCAGACAGGGUUUCUUUUCGGUUUACUAUGUACCAGUUUAAGAAUAAAUUAAAUAAAUAAAUAUUUGCU